UACGGAGGGUGCAAGCGUUGUCCGGAAUCAUUGGGCGUAAAGCGCGUGUAGGCGGUCCGGUAAGUCCGCUGUGAAAGUCGGGGGCUCAACCCUCGAAUGCCGGUGGAUACUGUCGGGCUAGAGUGCGGAAGAGGCGAGUGGAAUUCCUGGUGUAGCGGUGAAAUGCGCAGAUAUCAGGAGGAACACCAAUUGCGAAGGCAGCUCGCUGGGACGUUACUGACGCUGAGGGACGAAAGCUAGGGGAGCGAAAGGG
RNAcentral lists this ribosomal RNA (253 nucleotides) under uncultured bacterium. RNAcentral's name for it is "partial 16S ribosomal RNA". It matches the Rfam family "Bacterial small subunit ribosomal RNA", at positions 524 to 776 of the family's 1533-position model. The record is from RNAcentral.